Molecule: ribosomal RNA, 200 nt
Filed under: uncultured prokaryote
Description: partial 16S ribosomal RNA
Rfam family: Bacterial small subunit ribosomal RNA
Source: RNAcentral
GGUCAAAUCAUCAUGCCUCUUACAUCUAGGGCUACAGGCGUGCUACAAUGGCUGGUACAACGAGUCGCGAAACGGCAACGUUUAGCUAAUCUCUGAAAGCCAGUCUCAGUUCGGAUUGGAGUCUGCAACUCGACUCCAUGAAGUUGGAAUCGCUAGUAAUCCCGAAUCAGAAUGUCGGGGUGAAUACGUUCUCGGGUGUU